GACAGAGGUCCCGAGCGUUAGGCGGAAUCACUGGGCUUAAAGCGUGUGUAGGUGGAUGCCUAAGUACUUUGUGAAAUCCCACGGCUUAACCGUGGAAUUGCUUGGUAUACUGGCGGUCUUGAGCCAGCUAGGGGCUACCGGAACAAAUGGUGGAGCGGUGAAAUGCGUAGAUAUCAUUUGGAACGCCAAUGGUGAAAACAGGUAGCUGGGGCUGUGCUGACACUGAGACACGAAAGCCAGGGGAGCAAACGGG
This 253-nucleotide ribosomal RNA is filed under the name uncultured bacterium. Its description in RNAcentral is "partial 16S ribosomal RNA". It matches the Rfam family "Bacterial small subunit ribosomal RNA", at positions 524 to 776 of the family's 1533-position model. The record is from RNAcentral.